This 236-nucleotide non-coding RNA is filed under the name Erysipelotrichaceae bacterium. Its description in RNAcentral is "T-box sequence". It matches the Rfam family "T-box leader". Rfam says of the family: Uncharged tRNA acts as the effector for transcription antitermination of genes in the T-box leader family. T-boxes are found upstream of many aminoacyl-tRNA synthetase genes and some amino acid biosynthetic genes usually in Gram-positive bacteria. The anticodon of a specific tRNA base pairs to a specifier sequence within the T-box motif, and the NCCA acceptor tail of the tRNA base pairs to a conserved bulge in the T-box antiterminator hairpin. Lineage: Bacteria; Bacillati; Bacillota; Erysipelotrichia; Erysipelotrichales; Erysipelotrichaceae. The record is from RNAcentral.
AAAUUGAUGUUGAAAAGAAGAGUAGUCGAGCUUGGAAGCAAAGAGAGUAUCUCGAUUUGGUGGAAGAGAACGUGAAGAGCUAGGCGAACAUGGUCUUGGAGUAGCGUGGCUGAAAUGUAAGCCACGACGGGAUGCGCCCGUUACAGCGAUAGAGUAUGUUGGUACUCGAUGAGGUCCUUCUUUGCGAAAAGAGGAUAAACUUUAGGUGGUAACACGAAUAAGCAUUCGUCCUAAUC